Small nucleolar RNA from Phragmites australis (common reed), 139 nucleotides. RefSeq annotates it as small nucleolar RNA Z247. NCBI's taxonomy places the organism in Eukaryota, Viridiplantae, Streptophyta, Magnoliopsida, Poales, Poaceae. The transcript has a single exon. The record is from RefSeq and is a predicted model, not a curated record.
GAGCUUGACAAUGAGGAGAUGGUUUCUUAUAUUCUUGCAGGGUUAAAUAUGGACUACAACCCGCUUGUAUCCUCCGUCAUUGGCAGGACAGACCACAUCUCUCUAAGUGAUCUAUAUGCUCAUAUGCUCUCCUAUGAAA